Molecule: ribosomal RNA, 479 nt
Filed under: uncultured bacterium
Lineage: Bacteria
Description: partial 16S ribosomal RNA
Rfam family: Bacterial small subunit ribosomal RNA
Source: RNAcentral
GGGGGGGGGGGGGGGGGGGGGGGGGGGGGGCGGGUCGAGGGAGGCUCGUAGGAGUGGUUCUUCGGAGGCCGUCUGUUGUGCCGUCGUGGCGGGCGGGGGGGUAACGCGUGGGUCACCUGCCUCACACGGGGGGGUACCCAUUAGGCAUGACUGCCAAUACCGCCUAACCCGCUCCGCUCGCAUUAUCCCGACGGCACAGAUUUCUCGGUGUGAGAUGGACCCGCGUCUGAUUAGCUAGGUGGUUAGGUAACGGCCCACCAGGGCGACGAUCAGUAGCCGGCCUGAGAGGGUGAACGGCCACAUUGGGACGGAGACACGGCCCAAACUCCUACGGGAGGCAGCAGUGGGGAAUAUUGCACAAUGGGGGAAACCCUGAUGCAGCGACGCCGCGUGAGUGAAGAAUUAUUUCGGUAUGUAAAGCUCUAUCAGCAGGGAAGAAAAUGACGGUACCUGACUAAGAAGCCCCGGCUAACUACGUG